RNAcentral lists this ribosomal RNA (497 nucleotides) under uncultured bacterium. RNAcentral describes it as "partial 16S ribosomal RNA". It matches the Rfam family "Bacterial small subunit ribosomal RNA", at positions 28 to 507 of the family's 1533-position model. The record is from RNAcentral.
GAUGAACGCUGGCGGCGUGCCUAAUACAUGCAAGUCGAGCGAACAGACGAGGAGCUUGCUCCUCUGACGUUAGCGGCGGACGGGCGAGUAACACGUGGAUAACCUCCCUAUAAGACUGGGAUAACUUCGGGAAACCGGAGCUAAUACCGGAUAAUAUAUUGAACCGCAUGGUUCAAUAGUGAAAGACGGUUUUGCUGUCACUUAUAGAUGGAUCCGCGCCGCAUUAGCUAGUUGGUAAGGUAACGGCUUACCAAGGCAACGAUGCGUAGCCGACCUGAGAGGGUGAUCGGCGACACUGGAACUGAGACACGGUCCAGACUCCUACGGGAGGCAGCAGUAGGGAAUCUUCCGCAAUGGGCGAAAGCCUGACGGAGCAACGCCGCGUGAGUGAUGAAGGUCUUCGGAUCGUAAAACUCUGUUAUGAGGGAAGAACAAAUGUGUAAGUAACUAUGCACGUCUUGACGGUACCUAAGCAGAAAGCCACGGCUAACUACGUG